Long non-coding RNA from Stegostoma tigrinum, 4663 nucleotides. RefSeq lists it as uncharacterized. The transcript has 3 exons. The record is from RefSeq and is a predicted model, not a curated record. NCBI's taxonomy places the organism in Eukaryota, Metazoa, Chordata, Chondrichthyes, Orectolobiformes, Stegostomatidae.
GAGAAAGUCGUGUUUUGCUGACCCAUCACAGAAAGCAAUUUAUACUGCUUGCUUUUGAAAACUGUCUGUGGCUUACCAGACUUCACCUCAGCUCUCUAGUCUCACUGCCCUCUGUUCGGCUUCUGUGUCCCAGGUCAUAAAACACAACCAUCAAAAUGGGAGAUGACGAGGUAAGAUGUUGGGUGCUAAUCCCAUUGCAAAGUGUUUGUGGCUGUUUGAUACUUCUGGAAUGAAUGUAAUCUUUUUCAUAACUCAAAGCUUCCAUUCAUUGUGCUGUCCAAAUCAUUUCAAAAUAGUGCUCUCUGCUCUAAUAGAGUAAUGCUGUCAUUAAAAUAUCUGGGAAAUCUAAUACUAUCUGUGUGAACAAGCAAAGCACUUUUCUUUUGUCGUAGUAAAUUACCACAAUAGUGAGCAUGGGAAAUGGUUGUGCUUUCUGCACUUGACCCAUGAGACCAAUUAUAAAGAUCAUCCUUCCAAAGCUGGGCUGCGUGUAGAGCUAUACAAUGUACAGAUUAAGUCAAGUGACUUUGCUGCUGAAGAUGGUGAUGAUAGUGCAAAUGAAGCUGAUGAAUUACGAGGGACAUAGAGUGCAUAAGUGAAAUAUAACGAAUGCUAGAAAUCUGAAGUAAGAAUUGAAAAUACUAGGGAUACUUAGCAGCUCUGGCAGCAUCGGUGGAAGGAGAGCCAUUUCAGUUUGAUGAUCUUUCAUCAGGCUGGCUUUCAUGAACAUUUGAAAUGAAGGACUGGUUCUUGCUGCAUUUAUUUCUUCCUUUCUGUUGAAGAUGGUGACUGAUACUCAGGCACUGUGCAAUGGGAAACCUCAGUUACUUGACAGGCAAAAAGAAUAAAAUUUGGUAGGCUAUGAAAUUAGAAUCCACAACAUGAUGACGGAGAGUCUGUUAAUCUGCAAUUACAUUUUCUGUUUCUUGUCAAGAGACUGCGAUAUGAGGGCAAUAAUUAUCUUACUUGAGCUCAGUGCUUCAGUGUUACAAUUAAAUGCCAAAUUUUAAAGCAGCGUGCAGGAACCCAUGGCAGGGAAUCAUAUCUUUAAAUCUCUAAAGGUGGUAGGCCAAGUUACAUAGGCUGUUUAACAGAAGCAGGCACUAAGUGCAAUAGAAGGGCACAUGUGGUAAUCCUUAUAAAUCACUUGUUAUAUAAUGUGUGCGUAUCUAUUCUCUGAAUAAUUCCUGGAAGAACAGACUGGGCCUCAACCAUAUAACCAACAAUCAUUGCUUUCAAGUCAUGAGGCUAUGCAAAUUCUUCCCAGCCAUCAGAGAAAAAAAUCUGUAACUAGAAUGAAGAUUCUUAAUCUGCCUUAUUUUAAACAAAGUGAGAAUUGCAAGAUAACAGAGGCCCUGUUUUAUUGCUGUCGCCAGUUCUCUGGAGUUUACCUCAGGUUAGAUGCACAACUUCCACGACACUUGGAAGUAUUAAAUAAAGCUUUUGUAUUCAGUUGAUACACAUUUAUUUUUCCUUUGGUCUCAAAAAUAUUGUACCAUUUCUCAAGCAGUUUCCCCUUUGUUUGCUGGUUGCAAAAAGGGUAUCUUCCGGACACUCAACAUGCUGCUAUCAUCACAUUGGUCACAUUACAUUUAAAUUCAGAUUGCUGAUUGCAAAGUGACUAUGAUUCAGUAAAUUGCCAAUUGUUAAGAUCAGUGAUCAGUCUUAGCUAUCCUAUCAGUUCUGAGGAAGGGUCAUCGGGCCCGAAACUUUAACUCUGUAUUUUCCUUCACAGAUGCUGCCAGGCCUGUGUGCUUUUCCAGCAAUUUUGUUUUUAUUCUUAGGUAUUUUAUCAUCAGGCGAUGUUAAGAUAGAAUCAUCCAUUGUUUGGUGAUGACACAAGCUGUAUCACAUCUCAGCAGUUCAUUAUUAGUUAAAAUAUUAUUUAACUGCUUUCUUUAUGUUUCAGUAGGUACAGCACAGCUCAGUAAUCAUUCAGUGCAGAAUUGUCUUAAAAUUUGAUCCUCUUUUUGGUGCUCAUUUAACCUCUUCAUACUUGAAUUUUGAUAGAAGUGAUAUGAAUGGCCUGAACUUAUAGUCUACUCAGGCUCCCAAGACAAUACAUAUAAAUUCUAUCAUUAUGUAAACUGAUUCAACCCUAUUUUGUCUGACAAAUUAUUUUUGUCUCAAUUUUUCAACGCUCUUUACCUGAAGACAACACUUAAUAGUGAGGUUUAGUCGAAAAGUGGAAGCCAAUUUAUAAUUAACGCUUUAAUCCCAGCUUCAGAAUGACAUUCCUCACCUCUGCAGGAGAAACAAUUUGACAGUAAAGCUAUCUUAAAAUGUUGAUUUACAUACGGAAUCUUUGAAGUCAGGUGAUCUAUUCUCAGAAAUUACAAAUGAAAUUCAGACAAGAAGACUGGCUACUCCAGGCUGAUUGAAGUGAAGUCCAAUAGACUUCUAGAUUACUACUGUCGAUCACUACUGCUUACCACUUUGACAAUGUUCCAAACUGGAUCCUGUUCCAAUACAGGGAGUGCCGGGGUAUGUAGGAAGGAAUCAAAAAUACAAUAGGCCCAUGAGCCAAGAAAAUGGUUUAAUGAAAACCAAAGAUAGAGAAGGACAGCACUGAUUACAACAAAUCAAUGGAGAGAUGGGUGAAACACUGCCUUUAGUUGUACUCCAGGUAAAUCACCAUCAUCAGGGAGAUCUUGUAAGCCAUAGACAGUCUGUCCAUCAUGCAACAGCUGUAUGCUAAACCCACAGUGAAUGUACUUAGCGAAGAUUUUGACUCAUUUGUCAUCGAAAAACUGCAUGUAAUGGCACAAUACUGCUUGAACUCAUCAAGCAUGAAUGUGUCCUUGCUUGAGGGAGGAUGUAGUUAUUCCAUGUGUACAUGAAGCUAAGUUUGUGAUCCUGCACAAGAACAUGGGUGAAUGCAGUGAUUAUAACCAUCGAAGCAGCUCCCUGCUAAGCAGUCUGGGAAAAGUAUUUGCCCAUGUUGCCCUUGCCAGACUACAGAUCCUGGUUGAAUGCAUCUAUCCCAAAUUCCUGUGUCAUUUCAGUUCUGUAAAAUCUAUAAUCAAUAUGAUCUUCUCCAUCCAGUGGCUGUGAGAACAAUGCCAUGAACAAAGGAAAGCAUUAUACAUUUCCUUCAUUAACCUUGCCAAGACUUUCACCCAAGGGAGUACUGAUUACAUAGUUCGGCUGCUGGAGAAAAUUGGCUGCCACUUAAGUUUGCUGACUAUAAUAUCUUCUUUUCGAUGAGAAUAUGAGGAGUAAGGUUCACUUAACUCUGAAGGGUCACACUGGAAACCUUUGAGAUUUGCAGUGGGUCAAACAGUGUUGUGUCCUCAUACUACUGCAGUCAUAUGCGUUGUGAUCAUUUACUAACAGCUUGCACUUACAUCGCAAAACAGAUGUAAAACUGUUCGGCUUUGCCCAUCUGAAAUCCGAGGAAAGGGGCUGUCAUGCCCAAAGCAGAGAUUUAUCCUAUGCUGAUCGACAAUUUCAUAUCAAGAAACAGCUUCAGUGGCAAAUGGACAGAGCACUUAAAACCGCUAAAGAAUUUCGCUUGACCAUUAACAUCAGCAAGAUACAUGUCAUAGUCCGGAAUUUUACCAUAACAUCAUUCAUCAGCUGUAUUCACAAUGUGACCCCGGAGGUUGUUGACAGUUUCACAUAUCCAGCCUCCACAAUCCCCAACAAUCUGUCACUCGAUGCUGAAGUCAACACACUCCUCAUGAAAGCUGUAACUGUUCUAUUGAAGUGGAGUCAGAGUAUGGAACAGCAGCAAGCUGACUGAGCACAGUAAACUGCAGGUUUACUGAGCCAGUCUUCUCACCUUACCCCGCUUCGACGUGAAACCUGAACAACUCAUGCCAUGCACAUGAAAACACUGAGCAGCACCCACAUUUGCUUUCUCAGGCAUAACCGUGGCAUAUUUUCGCAGGGGGGGCACCAACCCAGCAGUCCUGGUAUAUGUUUAUUCCAAAGCAUUUGCUCAUCACUGGAUCAACAAUAUCUGUGCCGGCUGGGCCAGUUUCAUUAGUUGGAUAGUAGAUGUAUGUCCAAAGCCAUACUGGAUGGUAAACUGGUCACUGUGUCAAUACCUGCUGGAAGUCCAUACCUCCACUGCAACAAACCCUGCAGGAAAGAUAUGAUAAUAGUGAACAUGGACAAUGACAGAGACAAUGGUCGCUGUGAACCUUGAGGCUUACUAGCCAGAAGGACAUUGAAAGAGGCAAGAAAAAGAUCUCAACUGACUGAACCUACUGCAUUCACUCGUGUUAAAUGUAGCAUAGGCAGCCAAUGGUACUCGUGAAUCACACUGGGUGAUGCUUAACACAGAGCUGACCAGUAAGCCACAUCCCAUAGGCUUGGAUAUGCAAGACUGUCAUUAUUUUUAUUUUUUUUUGACUAUUUUCAAACUGAAUUUAAAUUGCCAUGGAAACAUUUGAACUCAAGUUAAUUACAUUAACAUCUAAAUUGAACUGACUGAAAGUGUAACAGCCUCUUCAAUGGUGGUGAAAGACAAAUUGGUUGGGUUUGAACAACUAAAACUUCACGGAUAAUCAUGAGAAUAUACGGCAGAGCAAUAUUUUUAAACAGUAAAGUAUUAUUCGUUAAAUGGUAACCUUAAUAGUAUAAGAGAUAAUGGGAACUGCAGAUGCUGGAGAUUCCAAGAUAAUAAAAUGUGAGGCUGGAUGAACACAGCAGGCCA